GGAAGGGUGCCGGAGUGGUCGAACGGGGUGCUCUCGAAAAGCAUUGAGCGAGCAAUCGUUCCGGGGGUUCGAAUCCCUCCCCUUCCGCCA
Molecule: transfer RNA, 90 nt
Filed under: bacterium
Lineage: Bacteria
Also listed under: 4 other names
Description: tRNA-Ser
Rfam family: tRNA
About the family: Transfer RNA (tRNA) molecules are approximately 80 nucleotides in length. Their secondary structure includes four short double-helical elements and three loops (D, anti-codon, and T loops). Further hydrogen bonds mediate the characteristic L-shaped molecular structure. tRNAs have two regions of fundamental functional importance: the anti-codon, which is responsible for specific mRNA codon recognition, and the 3' end, to which the tRNAs corresponding amino acid is attached (by aminoacyl-tRNA synthetases). tRNAs cope with the degeneracy of the genetic code in two manners: having more than one tRNA (with a specific anti-codon) for a particular amino acid; and 'wobble' base-pairing, i.e. permitting non-standard base-pairing at the 3rd anti-codon position.
Source: RNAcentral